UAUGAAGCUUUACUGUAGCUUGGAAUUGAAUUUGGGUUUAAUUUGCGCAGCAUAGGUGGGAGGCUAAGAUUUUUCAUUUGAGGAUGAAAAGGAGCCAACAGUGAGAUACCACUCUAAUUAAACUAGAAUUCUAAUCUUGAAGCCGUUAGCCGGCCAAGAGACAUUUUCUGGUGGGCAGUUUGACUGGGGCGGUCGCCUCCUAAAAGGUAACGGAGGCGUGCAAAGGUUUCCUCAGGCUGGUCGGAAAUCAGUCGUAGAGUGUAAAGGCAUAAGGAAGCUUGACUGCAAGACCUACAAGUCGAGCAGAGACGAAAGUCGGCCUUAGUGAUCCGACAGUUCUGAGUGGAAAGGCUGUCGCUCAACGGAUAAAAGUUACUCUAGGG
This 383-nucleotide ribosomal RNA is filed under the name Polysiphonia senticulosa. RNAcentral describes it as "bacterial LSU rRNA". It matches the Rfam family "Bacterial large subunit ribosomal RNA", at positions 2092 to 2473 of the family's 2925-position model. Lineage: Eukaryota; Rhodophyta; Florideophyceae; Ceramiales; Rhodomelaceae. The record is from RNAcentral.